AAGUGAGUGAAAUCACCAAUGCGUAAAUAUCGCCGAGACCGCUACCUUCUUGAGAGCGUAAUUCCUAAGUUUUCUAUCAAAUUUCAUACUUUUGUUGUCGUUACCAACAAGAAAAGAUUCUCUAUCAUUUCAUAACAAAAAAUAAUUUUUUUUAAAUUCUUGACACGGAGCAAGUUUUUGAGCAGGGGUCUCGACAGUGAAAGGGUUAAAGGUGUGGACACCAUACCACAGAUACAUAUUCCAAUUUUGAUCAAACAUACUGCUGUUUUUUUCUUUGUAAUUUUUUCAUUUAUAUACUGUAUUUAAAGGGUAUUUCAAAUUUAGGCACUAUUGCAUAAGAAUUUUUCAUUGCUACAUUUCUGUGUUUGACAGUGUCAUGUUUGAGAUAAUGUGUGGUGUGAGUGGUAUGCAAACAAUAAGGGGUGUAAAAAUUUGAAGAUGGUAUGGUAAUAUGACAGGUAUAAUUUAGAGAGCCAAGGAGGGCUUGAGAUAUUUAGGUCACUUGGAAAGACUAGAGAAAAAUAGGCUGACCAAGAGGGUCUAACUAUAUUUCACAAAGUAAAUUUGGGGAUUUUGGGUUUCCUUUCAUCCUAUGUUUCCAGUUUGGCUUUUUCUUGAAGCUGCAUUAGCACUUCAUUGGUGAAAUCCUCAUCAAGAGACUCCAGUAACUACAUCAUACCUUUUGUCAACCCCUAAACUCCUUGAUUGUUUUCUAGUCUUUUCCAUAAUUGUCGGAGUUAGAGAAGAAGUUUCUUUUCAUCCUAGGACCUGGAUGAGCUAAUAAAACAUUGAUCUGUUGGUCAGAUUAAGAAUUUUUUUAUUUUUCAGAAGGAAUACAACUUUUUAAUUGGCAGCCUCUGACUUGGCUGGGUGUGUAGUUCCCAUUCAUCUCCAUUUAUUUUGGUUUCUCAGCUGGUAAAGUCUGUCCUUAUCUGUGCCUGUUGUGUGUUUCUUCAAGAACAAGAACUUUUACUUAUUGCUUUUUGUUUUUGGCUAGGUGAGGGUUCCACAUUAGUGUUACAUAUUCAAGGAUUGGUUGCCAGUACAUGAAUUAGUCAUCCAAGGUAUUUUUCUUCGUUUCAGUCUUAUAUCUCUGGUCCUAUUUCUUAAGUGCCCAACUUCAUUACUUUGCACAUAAUUGUGGUUAGACUGUAUUACCUGGAGUUUACCUGGAGAGAGUUCCGGGGGUCAACGCCCCCGCGGCCCGGUCUGUGACCAGGCCUCCUUAGGUCAGUGUCCCAGGAUGCGACCCACACCAGUCGACUAACACCCAGGUACCCAUUUUACUGAUGGGGAACAUAGACAACAGGUUGAAAGAAACACGUCCAAUGUUUCUACUCUGGCUGGGAAUCGAACCCAGGCCCUCGCCGUGUGAAGCGAGAGCGUUAACCACCAGGCCACCAGAGGAGUACUAAUAGCUUCUUCAGUUGAUCUUGUAGCAUGUCUUGGUUCUACAGUUUACAACACAUGGAAGUACCUAAGUGCCUCCUGUAGUUCCUACAUGUGAGAGUACCUUCAGGAUCUCUUGCAGUUCCCUACAUGUGAGAGUACCUUCAAGUUCUGUAGUUUCCUACAUGUGCAAGUACCUUCAGGUUCUAUAGUUUCCUACAUGUGUGAGUACCUUCAGGGUCUGCUGUAGUUUCCUACAUGUCAGAGUACCUACAGGGUCUGCUGUAGUUUCCUACACGUGAGGAGUACCUCCUCCUCAUUCUGCGGUUUUAUGAGUGAGUGAGAAUUUAAUAGGAUUUUUAAUUUUUCCCUUAAAAUAUAAUGACUACAGUACAGGAUUUUCUCAGGAUGGCUUUAAGUAAAGUUACUGAUUCUCCUCAUGUUGUCAGUCUGUUUGACUUCAUGAUUUCCUGUAAUAGUAUUAUCCACCAGUAGCACUCUCCAAUGAUGGAAUCUUAAACUUAGGAAAAUAAUUAGCCAAAUUUUGUACAGUAUCUGAAUCUUAAUAUAACACAUGUAUUUAGUAAUGCCUAUAUGAUGGAACCUCGUUUUUCUGCCGUAAUCUGUUCCAGAAGGUCGGCCUAAAUUUGAAGCAGUAUUUCCCAUAAGAAUUAAUGUAAAUACAAUUGAUCCAUUCCAGACACCCAAAAAUAUUAACAAAAAAAAAUUUUUUUAAAGAUUAAUUAUAUGUAAAGUAAAAGGACACAAGUGCAACUAAUGUGACAUUUUUAUUGUAGCAAUGUUUUGCUCUCCAGGAGCUUUGUCAAGCUGUUAUGGCUUGACAAAGCUCCUGGAGAGUGAAACGUUGCCACAAUAAAAAUGUCACAUUAGUUGCACUUGUGUCCUUUUACUUUACAUAAUGUCGGUAAUUCUACCAACAUUACAAAGAUAAAUUAUAAUUUUACAUACACAAAACAAUGAGAACUAAAUAAAAUAAGUAAAUGAAUAUUUAAAUCACUAUUACACAUCUUUAUUGAAGACUCUUGUUGGCUAAUGGAGGGAGGGAGGACUGAUUAUUGUUUGGAAGGGGAAUCCCCCCUCCAUAAGGACUUAAGGUAUCAAAGCCCUGUCUGGGAUUACUUCCCUGCCUGACUGCUACACUCCCUUCCACACUCCCUGCAUGCCUGCUACACUCCCUGCAUGCCUGCUACACUCCUUCCUUGCCUGCUACACUCCCUGCAUCCCUUCCACACAGUUUUCAUGCUACACUCCCUCCCUUCAUGCUACACUUCCUACCUGCCUGGUACACACCCUGCCUCCCUUCCACAUUCCCUGUUUCCAUGCUACACUCCCUGCCUGCCUGCAACACACACUGCUCAUGGUGGCUUAUUUCACAGUCACACUUAAUAAACAAGCCACAUCAGCUUCCUUGAUUUAUUCUUUCUUUGCCAGGAUAGAAGUGAUUGUUGAUUUUUCUCUGCCAUACAUUCUGGCAAGUUCCAGCACCUGAACACCACUCUUAUAUUUUUCUAUUACUUCUUAAAUUCCAUCGUGUUUCUUGCGUUCUUUAACAAAGAAACUUUACUAGGAACUUUCUUGGGGCCCAUGGUGACUUAUUUCACAGUCACAUUUAAUAAAAAAAACACCAAAAACAAUGGAUUUUAAGGAAAUGUUUAGAUGAAUGCACAGAGUAUAUGCUCACUCGCCGACAGACAAAGAGAGACUGACUCGCCUACGGGCUGACACAUCUAAUACAGCUGACACAUGAGGCAAUGGCUGAAAUACGGAGCAAAAUUUCCGCCGAAAAACUGGCCUAAAUACGAAUCAGCCGAUAAACGCAGCAGCCAGAAAAUGAGGUUCCACUGUACUUUAAUUCUGAAACAUACUGCAUAAUAGAAAAUAAUUAAUGUAUAUAGCCUAAUGUUAAUACUUUAUUAAUCUUAAAUUUUGUAAAGUGUCAGUCACUGGCAGUCCCACAAAUAUUUGUUAAUAAUAAUAAUAAUUAAUAAUACGAUACUACAGAAAUUUUUUAAAUAUAAAUUGCAUUGAUAAGUAGAAUUGUGUAUGAAAAACAGAACUGCAUGUUCCUAGUAAAUACUGAGAUUUAUAUUUUGUAACAAAAACAUGGUCCCCAGUUCCAAAUAUCUCAAAAUGUUUUAUGAAUAACAUUUCUAAUAUGUAUUAGAGAAGUGACUGUGCUUGUGCAAGGGUGUACAUAGUGCUGUAAUUUAUUUUGCACAAACUUGCCUCCAUCCCUGCUAUAUUUUCAUAAUGAUUUACAUAUUUAUUGGUAUGUAUCUUCAAAGUCCUCAAGGUUAUCCAUGAGAUAUUUGAGCCAAAAACUAAAAAUUAAUAUAUUCAUUAGUUUGUUAAACACAAGUGCUUUGAUAACAUACAAGUACCAGAUAGUUACUGUUAUAGAACUCUUUACCCAAAAUAACUCAUAAGUGGACAAAUAAUUAGUGAAUACAUUUUAUUUUCAGUAUUUAGGUUGUAGUAUAGUUUACAGAGGUGAUGCAUUAUGAUUUUAAUAUUUUUACUUUUUAUAAUUGCUGUUUUUCUAUCUUAGAUUCUUGAAAAUGCACCAAACCAUUCCAUGCAAAUGCCAACAACAAAUUUGCAUUAUAUAGGGAAACUUCAUACUAUCUACCAUUGUUCCCUACUUGUGCACAUUAUUUUGUUCCUGUCUGUGAUAUUUUGGUGUAAUUCAGUGACCAGAUAUAUAGCCAGAAAAUUGAAACUUAUUGUCACUGUCCCUUGUUUAGUGUCGAGGGUGCCCCAUGCUCAGUGUUAUCAGCAAUGAGCAUUGCUGUUUUAAGAGAUGGAGGCAUGCUAUUCAGGGAAGUAAAAAAUAAAUAAAUAAAAGUCA
Molecule: long non-coding RNA, 4258 nt
Organism: Cherax quadricarinatus
Lineage: Eukaryota; Metazoa; Arthropoda; Malacostraca; Decapoda; Parastacidae
Source: RefSeq, a predicted model, not a curated record